This is a long non-coding RNA of Hippocampus zosterae (dwarf seahorse), 520 nucleotides long. RefSeq lists it as uncharacterized. The transcript has 3 exons. NCBI's taxonomy places the organism in Eukaryota, Metazoa, Chordata, Actinopteri, Syngnathiformes, Syngnathidae. The record is from RefSeq and is a predicted model, not a curated record.
GUUCAUUUAAUCAAACUUAUAAUUCGGUGAACUGGGCAGCCUUGUUAUGUUUUCGAUGAUAUACUGUAGCCCGUGGUGAGGGCGCCAUAUGCUCCGGCGCACCACCUCCCACCUGAGUUUUGGCCCGAUAACCAAAAAAAUCUCUCCGAGCCCGAGUGCCGCCGACAAGGUUGGAGCUGGCAGCGGAAGGUCGCUAUCAGUCACUUCUUAUCUCGCCAGAUUUUGAUGAGAGGAAAGGGGAGGACGGCGGUGGUGCGGGGGUGUCUUAUAAUCUGAACGUGAAGGUCAACACUCUGCGAGGAAUCUGAUCAGGAGCGAAGGCAAGUGCAACGUUAAUAGUAUGCUGAAGUCCGUGAAAAGGAACAACAGAAAGUCUGGAAAGCAGAAAUCUCUUGAAGGUGUCUCGCCUGAGAGAAGAAGCUUAAGAUGAAGAUGGAAUAUCAUCGCCGUGGGACUCCCCAAUCUGCUUUAGUCAUUCCGUGACCCACAUUUGCACACCGGGAUUGGCUUUAUUUUUAGC